Molecule: ribosomal RNA, 261 nt
Filed under: uncultured prokaryote
Description: partial 16S ribosomal RNA
Rfam family: Bacterial small subunit ribosomal RNA
Source: RNAcentral
UACGUAGGGUGCGAGCGUUGUCCGGAAUUACUGGGCGUAAAGAGCUCGUAGGUGGUUUGUCACGUCGUCUGUGAAAUUCAGAGGCUUAACUUCGGGUGUGCAUCUGAAACUGAUGUUCUUGAGUGUCGGAGAGGAAGGUGGAAUUCCUGGUGUAGCAGUGAAAUGCGUAGAGAUUUGGAGGAACACCAGUGGCGAAGGCGGCUUUCUGGUAUGUAACUGACGCUGAGGCGCGAAAGCGUGGGGAGCAAACAGGAUUAGAUA